UACCUACGGGAGGCAGCAGUAGGGAAUCUUCCACAAUGGACGAAAGUCUGAUGGAGCAACGCCGCGUGAGUGAAGAAGGGUUUCGGCUCGUAAAGCUCUGUUGGUGGUGAAGAAAGAUAGAGGUAGUUACUGGCCUUUAUUUGACGGUAAUUACUUAGAAAGUCACGGCUAACUACGUGCCAGCAGCCGCGGUAAUACUUAGGUGGCAAGCGUUUUUCGGAGUUAUUGGGCGUAAAGCGGGUGCAGGCGG
This 250-nucleotide ribosomal RNA is filed under the name uncultured bacterium. Its description in RNAcentral is "partial 16S ribosomal RNA". It matches the Rfam family "Bacterial small subunit ribosomal RNA", at positions 335 to 578 of the family's 1533-position model. The record is from RNAcentral.